Molecule: long non-coding RNA, 695 nt
Organism: Priapulus caudatus
Lineage: Eukaryota; Metazoa; Priapulida; Priapulimorpha; Priapulimorphida; Priapulidae
Exons: 2
Source: RefSeq, a predicted model, not a curated record
CGCGUACAUACGGCGUCACUCGAAGGUUGGCGUACCGCUUGAAAGAAGGAGUUUCUGUGUCAGGGAUUUCGCGAGAGUUUUCUGUUAGAGGGCUUUUUCGAUUGUUUCAAUUGAUUAUCUGGCUUUUCUGUUCAGUUUUCGUGUCGUACUCAUGGUCUUCAAUAUAGAUUUUGAUCGUUAGAGCUUUUCGUUAGAAACACUGUUGCUUACGGUCGAACUGCAAUUUGUAGGGUUGCCUCGAAUCCAUCAACUCAGCCGCUCCUGGAGGCUGGAGACCGAAGAGGCACAUUUGUAAGGUGAAUAUAUUACGAUAUUUUCACGUGUUAGCACGGCAGUUUUAGCGUCAUCUGACCGAAGGAAGGCAGCUACUGCAACUUGCAAGCCAACAGCCGUUGCCGAGGACGGACCAGUUUAUUACCGCCGGCCAUCGUUGCUACCUGCCACGACUGUCGAACAAUAUGAAGAUAUGUAUUUCGAGCAAGAUGGCAAUCAAACCCAGGCUGCCGCUUCACAUGGGUUCACCCCAUUGUUGCUUCACAAUAAUCCUGGCGUCUCGUAAAACCUUUCAAGUGAUGUAUUUCGAUGUAUAAAACUCAGGAAUGUCUUUCAUAGUGGAAAGUGAAGGUAGUAUUGUAAAUAAGGCAAAUGGAAGUAUGUGGAUAUUAAAACUGUAAAUAUGUGGUUUUGUAAGAGUA